Eriocheir sinensis (Chinese mitten crab) is the source of this 1536-nucleotide long non-coding RNA. RefSeq lists it as uncharacterized. NCBI's taxonomy places the organism in Eukaryota, Metazoa, Arthropoda, Malacostraca, Decapoda, Varunidae. The transcript has 4 exons. The record is from RefSeq and is a predicted model, not a curated record.
UACACAGGAAUAAGGUCAACAGUUCCCAUUCACCAGGCAGGGUAGCAAGGCAGUAUAAGGUCAACAGGUUCAAAAUAUAAGGUACACAGGAAUAAGGUCAACAGUUCCCAUUCACCAGGCAGGGUAGCAAGGCAGUAUAAGGUCAACAGGUCCAAGAUAUAAGGUACACAGGAAUAAGGUCAACAGUUAUCAUUCACCAGGCAGGGUAGCAAUGCAGUAUAAGGUCAACAGGUCCAAAAUAUAAGGUACACAGGAAUAAGGUCAACAGUUUCAAUUCACAAGGCAGGGUAGCAAGGCAGUAUAAGGUCAACAGGUCCAAGAUAUAAGGUACACAGGAAUAAGGUCAACAGUUCCCAUUCACCAGGCAGUGUAGCAAAGCAGUAUAAGGUCAACAGGUCCAAGAUAUAAGGUACACAGGAAUAAGGUCAACAGUUUCCAUUCACCAGGCAGGGUAGCAAGGCAGUAUAAGGUCAAGUCCAAGAUAUAAGGUACACAGGAAUAAGGUCAACAGUUAUCAUUCACCAGGCAGGGUAGCAAGGCAGUAUAAGGUCAACAGGUCCAAGAUAUAAGGUACACAGGAAUAAGGUCAACAGUUAUCAUUCACCAGGCAGGGUAGCAAUGCAGUAUAAGGUCAACAGGUCCAAAAUAUAAGGUACACAGGAAUAAGGUCAACAGUUCCCAUUCACCAGGCAGGGUAGCAAGGCAGUAUAAGGUCAACAGGUCCAAAAUAUAAGGCACACAGGAAUAAGGUCAACAGUUCCCAUUCACCAGGCAGGGUAGCAAGGCAGUAUAAGGUCAACAAGGAUAACAACUUCAAGGUAUUAGGCAGUGUACAGCAAACAAUCUCUUCAGGGAGCGCAGCAAACAAGGCGGUAUAAGGUAAGAGGAUCGACACUAUAAUUUGAAACUGGCCUAAAGGGAAGUGGCGGCUGGAGAGGAAACGAGAGGUGUUGAGAGUGUGUGGCAAGGUGCGGGGCUAGGCUAACCCCGCAGCCGCCACUACCCCAUAUACUAUAGCGGAGAUAACAGCCAUUGGUAACGAUCGUAACAAACAAGACUGUGAAAGCGGCCCUUAAUCACCAAAGCAUAGCAUAAGGUAGAGUUCUCAUUUAUCAUUCAGUGUGACGUAAACAACCCCAACGCAGUGUAAUGUAAACAGCUCCUUCGUACAGUCCAGCAAGGUAGAGCAAGGUAAUGAGUGUUCGGUUAACCCGGUAGCAGCGACGGGCCAAAUGUGUGGCUUUACCGUGUAGCAGCGACGGGCCAAAUUUGUGGCUUUACCGUGCAGCAGUGACGGGCCAAAUUUGUGGCUUUACCGUGUAGCAGUGACGGGCCAAAUUUGUGGCUUUACCGUGUAGCAGCGACGGGCCAAAUUUGUGGCUUUACCGUGUAGCAGCGACAGGCCAAAUUUGUGGCUUUACCGUGUAGCAGCGACGGGCCAAAUUUGUGGCUUUACCGUGUAGCAGCGACGGGCCAAAUUUGUGGCUUUACCGUGUAGCAGCGACGGGCCAAAUUUGUGGCUUUACCGUGUAGCAG